AUUGAACGCUGGCGGCAUGCUUUACACAUGCAAGUCGAACGGCAGCGCGGGGGCAACCCUGGCGGCGAGUGGCGAACGGGUGAGUAAUGCAUCGGAACGUAUCCUGUAAUGGGGGAUAACGUAGCGAAAGUUACGCUAAUACCGCAUACGCUCGAGAGAGGAAAGUGGGGGAUCGCAAGACCUCACGUUAUAGGAGCGGCCGAUGUCUUAUUAGCUAGUUGGUGGGGUAAAGGCCUACCAAGGCGACGAUCGGUAGCUGGUCUGAGAGGAUGAUCAGCCACACUGGGACUGAGACACGGCCCAGACUCCUACGGGAGGCAGCAGUGGGGAAUUUUGGACAAUGGGCGAAAGCCUGAUCCAGCCAUGCCGCGUGCGGGAAGAAGGCCUUCGGGUUGUAAACCGCUUUAGUCCGGGAAAAAGGGGUGCGAGGAUAAUACCCUUGUGCUUUGAUGGUACUGGAAGAAUAAGCACCGGCUAACUACGUGCCAGCAGCCGCGGUAAUACGUAGGGUGCGAGCGUUAAUCGGAAUUACUGGGCGUAAAGCGUGCGCAGGCGGUCUUGUAAGACAGUCGUGAAAGCCCCGGGCUUAACCUGGGAACUGCGAUUGUGACUGCAAGGCUAGAGUGUGUCAGAGGGGGGUGGAAUUCCACGUGUAGCAGUGAAAUGCGUAGAGAUGUGGAGGAACACCGAUGGCGAAGGCAGCCCCCUGGGAUAACACUGACGCUCAUGCACGAAAGCGUGGGGAGC
Molecule: ribosomal RNA, 747 nt
Filed under: uncultured Azonexus sp.
Lineage: Bacteria; Pseudomonadati; Pseudomonadota; Betaproteobacteria; Rhodocyclales; Azonexaceae
Description: bacterial SSU rRNA
Rfam family: Bacterial small subunit ribosomal RNA
Source: RNAcentral